Budorcas taxicolor (takin) is the source of this 1542-nucleotide RNA transcript. It is a transcript of the gene named RAB24, member RAS oncogene family, with no coding region annotated. The transcript is spliced from 10 exons. The record is from RefSeq and is a predicted model, not a curated record. NCBI's taxonomy places the organism in Eukaryota, Metazoa, Chordata, Mammalia, Artiodactyla, Bovidae.
CCCCUUCCCCGGCCCCGCCACCGCUGGAGUCGCGGCGCUGCGGGCCGGCGCUGGGUUGGAGGAUCCCCCUGGCUCGGUGGGGAAUCUGUGCCGGCGCGGCCUCUAAGCUAGGUGGGCGAGCGAGCGGCAGAGCGAGCUAGCAAGUCCGGCGGCGGCGUGCGGCGCCGUUAAGGGCGCUGCCCCGCGCGCUCCCAGGCCGCCCCGGGUCCCAGGCUCUUAGGAGGAGGAUAAUUCCUGGGCCCGAAAAGCGGGGGCGGACGGAGGCGUUGUCAUCGCUCAAGCUCGUUGCGGCGUGUGGAACCUUAGGUUGGCGCCUGGGGUCGGGGACUGAGGUUAAGGGCGCUGCCUGUCGGAGCGGAGAUCCGGGUUUGCCUCGCGCCCCGGCUCAGGACCCUGACGCGGGUGAGGCGGCCCCGGGAGCAUGAGCGGGCAGCGCGUGGACGUCAAGGUGGUGAUGUUGGGCAAGGAGUACGUGGGCAAGACGAGCCUGGUGGAGCGAUACGUGCACGACCGCUUCCUGGUGGGGCCUUAUCAGAAUACCAUUGGGGCCGCCUUCGUAGCCAAGGUGAUGUCUGUCGGAGACCGGACGGUGACUUUGGGUAUUUGGGACACAGCAGGCUCUGAGCGCUAUGAGGCCAUGAGCCGAAUCUACUAUCGGGGCGCCAAGGCUGCCAUCGUCUGCUAUGACCUGACAGACAGCAGCAGCUUUGAACGGGCAAAGUUCUGGGUGAAGGAACUGCGCAACCUAGAGGAGGGCUGUCAGAUCUACUUGUGUGGCACCAAGAGUGACCUGCUGGAGGAGGACAGGCGGCGGCGACGAGUGGACUUCCACGACGUUCAGGACUAUGCAGACAAUAUCAAAGCUCAGCUCUUUGAAACAUCCAGCAAGACAGGCCAGAGUGUGGACGAGCUCUUCCAGAAAGUGGCCGAGGAUUACGUCAGUGUGGCCGCCUUCCAGAGGACAAGGGCGUGGACCUGGGCCAGAAGGCAAACCCCUACUUCUACAACUGCUGUCAUCACUGAGUCACCACUCACUUGGCCUGGGGGGGGGGAUUCCCCCAGGGAGGCUGGACCUAGCUCUUGUCUGGGCUUGGAUGAUCAAACAUCUGAGCUACCUGGGUCCCCGUGGCAGCAGAGGUGGCACCUGCCUGUGCUGGCCCAUGGAGCGGAGACAGCAUUGGGGCUGACUGAUGGGCACAAAGAGGUUUACACUGUAGCAACCUCUGGCCCCGCUACACUAGCCCUAGGAAGCUCAGCUGAGAGCUGACGGGCCACAGUCAAUGAGAGUCUCAUGCAGCAGCUACUGAGCUCUAAAUGAUCUGGAAUGUCGAACACAUGGAACAGCCCAGUCAUUACUCAGGAGGAACAGGGGCUUGUCCCACCUCCUUUCCUGCCAUGAUCUCAGAGAGGGGAAGCUGCCAGGACCAACUUCCUUCCUGCCACUCUGUUCUCAUGAGGCAACGUGCGAGUCCAGCUCCAGUGAGUAGAUGCUGCCAAGCCUGGAAAAGGAUCGCUGAUGCACUUCAUGCCCUGACUGUAGUG